Molecule: long non-coding RNA, 96 nt
Organism: Ipomoea nil (Japanese morning glory)
Lineage: Eukaryota; Viridiplantae; Streptophyta; Magnoliopsida; Solanales; Convolvulaceae
Exons: 3
Source: RefSeq, a predicted model, not a curated record
CUCAACAAUCUUUCCGUUUGAUACCAAGGAGAAAUCCCAGGAGGAUUAGUUGACUUUGAGGCCAUGGAGACUUCCUGUAGAUCCCAAUAAUUUUCC